This 496-nucleotide ribosomal RNA is filed under the name uncultured bacterium. RNAcentral's name for it is "partial 16S ribosomal RNA". It matches the Rfam family "Bacterial small subunit ribosomal RNA", at positions 29 to 507 of the family's 1533-position model. The record is from RNAcentral.
AUGAACGCUGGCGGCGUGCCUAAUACAUGCAAGUCGAGCGAACGGACGAGAAGCUUGCUUCUCUGAUGUUAGCGGCGGACGGGUGAGUAACACGUGGAUAACCUACCUAUAAGACUGGGAUAACUUCGGGAAACCGGAGCUAAUACCGGAUAAUAUUUUGAACCGCAUGGUUCAAAAGUGAAAGACGGUCUUGCUGUCACUUAUAGAUGGAUCCGCGCUGCAUUAGCUAGUUGGUAAGGUAACGGCUUACCAAGGCAACGAUGCAUAGCCGACCUGAGAGGGUGAUCGGCCACACUGGAACUGAGGCACGGUCCAGACUCCUACGGGAGGCAGCAGUAGGGAAUCUUCCGCAAUGGGCGGAAGCCUGACGGAGCAACGCCGCGUGAGUGAUGAAGGUCUUCGGAUCGUAAAACUCUGUUAUUAGGGAAGAACAUAUGUGUAAGUAACUGUGCACAUCUUGACGGUACCUAAUCAGAAAGCCACGGCUAACUACGUG